This 2095-nucleotide long non-coding RNA is filed under the name Marmota monax (woodchuck). The record is from RNAcentral. Lineage: Eukaryota; Metazoa; Chordata; Mammalia; Rodentia; Sciuridae.
GGCAUGCGUACAGCCCGGGUUCUAUCCUCAGCACCACAUGCAAAACAAAGAUGUUGUGUCCGCCAAGAACUAAGAAAUAAAUAUUAAAAGAAAAAAAAAAAGUUCUCUUUAAGUUGCCCAGGCUAGCUCCUCUUUCCUCAGCUUCAGUUGAGGUUACAGGUGUGUGUCAUUGUCUGGCAUAAUUUUUUUUUUUAAAUAUUUUUUUUUUAAUUGUAGUUGGACACAAUAGCUUUAUUUUAUUUAUUUAUUUUGUGUAGUGCUGAGAAUCGAACCCAGGGGGUUGUACUAUGUGAGCGCUCUACCGCUGAGCCACAACCCCAGCCUCCGCACCCCCCCCCCCGCAUAAUCUUUUAAGAAUCAGCCUGUUAUUCCUAAGCUUAAAACCUGAAGCUUCCAGUUAUUCUAAGAUUAAAAAUGAAAUUUCUUAACAGAGCUUAAAGACUUGCCAUAAACUUACCUCUUCAGAUUUCUUGUAUAUAGUUUUUCCCUGCCACAGAGCUGCCUUUCUGGAUCCUAAUGGCAUCUUACUUAGGAGCCUUCACAUGUGCUGCCUUCUCCACUUUGUUGUAACCACACUCCCAUGUCAGUCCUUGUGAUUUGUUCUUUUGGUGUGCUGGGGAUCUGGAACCCAGGGCCUUGUGAAUGCUUGGCAAGCUCUCCACUUAGCUACAUCUCAACCUUUUCGAAAAACUUAGGGUCCUGCUAAGUUGCUUAAGCUUGCUAUAUCACUGUAAUAGUUUUCACUCCAUAGUACUUACCAAAAAUGUAAUUAAGGUUUGCUUCUCCUAUUAGGAAUGUUCAGUUCCAUUUAUUACUAUAUCCCCAGAUUCUGGCGUACAGUAGGAGUUCAUUCAGUUGAUAAAGGAAUUUAGGAGCUUUUAGUGUGAGAAGUCAUGGAACUCUGAAGUGUAGUCUACAACAAGAAACUUGGUCUUGGUGAAUAAAAGGAUUUCUACAACAUGCAAUUUCUCAUGUAAGAACUGAGGUUUAGACAUAAAUACAUUUGUCCCUACCUCAGUAAAUUUUUAAAAAUAUCUUUAUUUUUAUGUGGUGUUGAGGAUCAAACCUCACGCUUGUGAGGCCAGUGCUCUACCACUGAGCUACAACCCCAGCCCCUCAGGAGUUCUUUAACUGGCUAAAAACUUAAUCCUUUGGAGGGAUACAGGGCUAUUCUUUCUUUCUCUCUCUCCCUUCCUUCCUUCCCUCCCUCCCCCAUCUUCCUUCUCUUUUCCUUUCAGUACUGGAGACUGAACCUAGGAGUGCUUUACCACGGAGAUACAUCCCCAGCCCUUUAAAAAAAAAAAUCAUCAAAUAGGAUCUAAGUUGCUGAGGCUGGCCUGAAACCUGUGAUCCUGUUGCCUUAGCCCCGAGUUACUGGAUUACAGAUAUGCACCCGCCACAUCUGGCAAAUAUGUUGGUCAAAACCUAACCUAACAUUAGAUUGUGGUGGCUGGCUAUGCCUGGUAUCACGCACAUCAAUCAUGAAAAAAUCCCAGCAUAUCUUUGCCUUCUUUUCUUUUGUUACAUGGACAGUCCUGUCAGUCCUGUGUCCCCAUUGAAGCUAAUCUGGGCCCUAGUUAUAUGAAAUACACUAGUUGGAAAAGUGGGCAUGGAUCUUUUUUUUUUUUUUUUUAAAGAGAGGGGGGAGAGAGAGAGAGAAUUUUUUUUAAUAUUUAUUUUUUAGUUUUUGGCGGACACAACAUCUUUGUUUGUAUGUGGUGCUGAGGAUCGAACCCGAGCCGCACGCAUGCCAUGCGAGCGCGCUACCGCUUGAGCCACAUCCCCAGCCCCCCGGCAUGGAUCUUUAUAUCACCACAUCCUUAGGCCCUUGUCUCCCAAAUCAGGGAAAACUUCUGUUUCACUGAACCCUGCCAGGACUAUUUUAAGCAUAAAAUGGGAGGGCUGAAGGGUGUAGCUCAGGGGUGAAGUGUGUCCUUAGCAUGCUCUAGGCCCUGGUUUGAUCCCUAAGGUAGGGAGAAUGUGGGAAUGCUACAAUUGUAGGUAAAAUUUCACAUGUAGCCAGAAGUAAUAUGUCACAAUAAAGCUUAAGCAUGGUUGAAUCCAUCAUUAAGUAUUCAUUUUAUGGGGACAGAAC